Nerophis ophidion (straightnose pipefish) is the source of this 1665-nucleotide long non-coding RNA. RefSeq lists it as uncharacterized. NCBI's taxonomy places the organism in Eukaryota, Metazoa, Chordata, Actinopteri, Syngnathiformes, Syngnathidae. The record is from RefSeq and is a predicted model, not a curated record. The transcript is spliced from 5 exons.
UUUCCCAGAGAGCAGCUUAGUUCUCUGCACAGCUGAGUUGUCACAAACUUUGCUUCCUUGGUUCAAACACAUGUAGCCUUUUUUCACAGCCGGACAAUGUUUAAUAGCCUGCAUUAUAAAUGUGCAAAAUGUGUUGCUUUACAUUCAGUACAGAUUGUAAUUUGGUCAAUCUUUAGGAUUAAAGUUAAAGUACCCAUGGUUGUCACACACACACUAGGUGUGGCGAAGUUAUUCUAUGCAUUUGACCCAUUACCUUUGAUCACCCCCUGGGAGGUGAGGGGAGCAGUGAGCAGCAGUGUUGGCCGCCGCCAGGAAUCAUUUUUGGCCUGCAGUUAAGUGAGAACCUGCAAAAACCCUGACCUGGGGGAAAUUCUGGGUUUUCCCUUCCAAAAAUUAAGAGCGUGGAUGUGUGCCAAAUGAAUUGCAUCCAUUCCGAGGAGCUGGGCGGGGUUCCUUCCAACUUUGCUGUCGGAGUAAAAUGUCCAGGUCCACUGGUCCCGGGGCCAAUAGAAGUGUGGAAAUUGAUGUUCUGUGAACCUGGCCCCUCCACUUUAUCCUGGAGCAUCUGGACUCCCCAGGAACCUAUGCCAGGAUCCUGUUCGUGGACUUGAGCUCUACCUUCAACACCAUCCUUCCUGGACUGCUAUGAGACAAGUUCUGCCAGCUCAGCGUGCCCGACUCCCUCUGCAGUUGGAUCAAUGACUUCCUGACAGACCGCAGACAGCACGUGAGGCUGGAUAAGAUUAUCUCGGACAGUCGAACCAUGAACACUGGUACUCCUCAGGGCUGUGUACAUUCCCCCUGGCUCUUCUCCCUGUGUACAAACUCCAGUCACCAGUCCGUAAAGCUGCUCAAGUUUGCGGACAACACUACAUACACUUAUCGGGUUCAUCCCGGAAAGCGAUGAGUCCGCCUACAGGAGAGAGGUGGACCGGCUGGCGUCCUGUUGUAGCCUGAACAACCUGCAGCUGAAUGCCCAGAAAACAGUGGAGAUGAUGAUGGACUUUAGGAUAAAGUCAAAGCCCCACCAUCCCCCCCUCAUCCUGAUUGACUCUCCCAUCCCCGUCUACAUUGUGGACUCCUUCUGUUUCUUGGGCACCACCAUCACCCAGGACCGCAAGUGGUAGCCUACCAUCGGCUCCCUCAUCAAGAAGGCCCAGCAGAGGAUGUACUUCCUGCAGCAGCUGAGGAAAAUUAAGGUGUCGAUCGAGAUGCUGGUGCAGUCUUACUCAGCCAUCAUAGAGUCCAUCCUCCCCUCCUCCAUCACCAUGUGGUUCCCCGGCGCCACAGUCCCAGAUAAGCAUCAACUUCAGCGCAUUGUACAUGCUGCUGAGAAGGUGAUUGGCUGUUAACUCCCAGCUCUCCAGGACCUGCACUCCAAGACCAAGAGGCGUGUGGGUCGAAUCACAGCUGACUCUUCUCACCCUGGUCACAAACUAUUCUCCCCUCUCACCUCAGGCAGGAGACUACAGUCCAUCCAGACCCACACCUCCCGCCACUUGAACAGUUUUUCCUCUCGGCCAUCAGGCACGAACAAUAACAAGAUCUGAUAGCUCAGUUACAGCUAAUUUUAUUACCUAUUCUGUUGUUUUAUGUUGCACCAAGAAAAAUUCCUAGUUUGUGAACCCGUUCUCAAAUAAUGGCAAUAAAAAAAGUAUUUUGAUA